RNAcentral lists this ribosomal RNA (445 nucleotides) under uncultured organism. Its description in RNAcentral is "partial 16S ribosomal RNA". It matches the Rfam family "Bacterial small subunit ribosomal RNA", at positions 334 to 796 of the family's 1533-position model. The record is from RNAcentral.
CACUCCUACGGGAGGCAGCAGUGGGGAAUAUUGGACAAUGGGCGCAAGCCUGAUCCAGCCAUGCCGCGUGAGUGAUGAAGGCCCUAGGGUUGUAAAGCUCUUUCACCGGUGAAGAUAAUGACGGUAACCGGAGAAGAAGCCCCGGCUAACUUCGUGCCAGCAGCCGCGGUAAUACGAAGGGGGCUAGCGUUGUUCGGAUUUACUGGGCGUAAAGCGCACGUAGGCGGACUAUUAAGUCAGGGGUGAAAUCCCGGGGCUCAACCCCGGAACUGCCUUUGAUACUGGUAGUCUUGAGUUCGAGAGAGGUGAGUGGAAUUCCGAGUGGAGAGGUGAAAUUCGUAGAUAUUCGGAGGAACACCAGUGGCGAAGGCGGCUCACUGGCUCGAUACUGACGCUGAGGUGCGAAAGCGUGGGGAGCAAACAGGAUUAGAAACCCUGGUAGUCC